Molecule: long non-coding RNA, 750 nt
Filed under: Mytilus galloprovincialis (Mediterranean mussel)
Lineage: Eukaryota; Metazoa; Mollusca; Bivalvia; Mytilida; Mytilidae
Source: RNAcentral
UUAUUAUAUGAGUAUUAAACAUGUUCAUUUUUCAAUAAACAACAAGUUGUAUACAAUUGAUUAUUCAUCUAAUACUCUGUGAAUUUUUGACCUUUUGAAGAAGAAUUACAAAUUGUCCUUAAUGAACAUCAAACAAACUGUCACAAUCUUUUUCAUAUAUUGAUUGUAUUUUGAAAGAUUGCUUUUUUUAUAAUUCUUUACAUUGCAAAUAAUUAUAUCUUUCAUGUAUUAUUAAUGCAAAUACAAAAUUAUGACAUUGUUCAAAUAAUUAAUGGAGUAUGACUGAUAUGUUUAUAUAAGGCUGCUUUUGAGCUAAAACUGCCAUGUUAAUCUUUAAUAAAUGAUCUCAAAAGUUAGAAUUUUAUAUAUCGUCUAAACGUUUUGUCCAUUUUUUUAGUAAUUUUGCAAACACCUCAAUUUACAUCAUAAUAUUCAGAUUCUUGUAUUAUUCUAAAAUUGAAAUCUGUUCUGUCUAUUUUAAGAUGUUCUAGCUGGUAUGUGCCUCUGUAUACAACAAUGUACAUAGCAGAUGGGCCUGCACACUUCUUGAUUGGCUACAGGUAAUAUCUUAACAGUGAUAAACAUUAGGAAAUAUCACAAUACACUUAAAAAUUUAACAAGACUUUUAAAACAUGUUAAUUUUCCAACACUAUUUAUAAAAUAUCUUUAGAUGCUCAUUCAACAGAAGAAUAACAUUGAAAUGUGAUUUAAAGACAUUUCAAAAAUAAUAUUAUUGACAAUAAAUCAAUU